GGGAAGCAGACAAACCAAGAAUGCUAAUGCCCAUCUGACAUCAGAGACGGCAGUGCUCCCCAGACCUCUCACAGCAAGCUGGAUGGACAGGCAGGGCCAGAAGAGUCCUCCAGCCAAGCCUCCUCCUUGGUUCUUGUACCCAAAGGUAGAGAAACUGCAGGUCUUCUUGGGUCUGAGCCUGGGGCAGGGGUUCUGGCUGGACGAAAAGGGGCAGGGAAGCAGCAGGAGCCAGAGACCACAGGCUGAGCUGGAGCCCACAUGGUUCCUAAGGGCAGAACAGGCUCUGAGGAAAGAUGUGAACAGCUGGAAGGCUGACAGUGAGGUCUCAGCAGUGUGGUGCACCCCUCCCCAGCACAUCCGAGUCCCUGGGGUCCCAGGUACCAUAGGUACUGCAAGAUUUCCCAAGAGACAGCACCAGCAACCUGGGCCUGACCCUGUACAACCGCCAAACCAUCACGAGCCCCGCCCAGGCUUGUGAGAAGGACAUGCAUGGAUCAAGACCUUGCCCUUGACCCAUCUGCUUCUCAGAUGGGCUCCCAAUCACCAGAGGAAGUUGCUGUAAGCCCACUUUCCAGACUGCCCCCACACUGGGGCUCUAAGUUUCAGGUCGGAGAUUUUAUGCUCUGUGAUCCCCCACUUGGGGUUCCCAGACUCCAAGCUCCUGGCUCCUGUGUUCAGUGGCUGAAUUCAACGUCCGAGAUUCGGAAUAUGGGCUCCAGCCUGCAGAAACUCUUCUCCAGGCAUUGUGGUUUGUGCCUCCUAGUGUUGGCUCCCUCAUGAAAAGAGGGUCAACACCCUUGGCCCCCAGCCAAGAUCUCUGCUCAAUGUCCAUACAAGGAGGAAGCCAAAACCAAGUGAGGUGCUGGAGCCACAUUCAAAUGUGGUUGAUAAUCUUGGGGCAGGCCAGCUCUGAUGUGGAUGAAAGCUGAUCCAACUGUCGCCACAGCUGCCCAGCUGGGUCCGCUGCUCCCCUGGCUGGCUGUUCAGCUGUCUACUAAGCCCAAAAAAAAUACUAUGCCUCACUAGCAGAGGCUAGACCCAGAAAGAGGGAACAAUGAGGACCCCUCCCCUCCCAGAGGAAAGAGCUGAGCCACUCUCCCCAUCCAGGGAACAGUAGGUCCAGGCUGGAUGCUGGUAUGAUGGGAACUGCCCUUUUCACCUGCCAGGGAGUUCCUAAAGCUGAUCUUCCUGGGGUUCUGAAGGUUGCGACCUAGGUUAAUGAGACCAAAUUCUAGGAACCACUGCCCAGGCCAACCACCGCCAGUGCUGCAGAGAUCAAAGAAAUCCACAGCCACAGGAAAAGGAGCUUCUUUGGACAUGCCCAGCUCCAAACUGUCCCAGGGGGAACUGGCACAGCCCUUACAUAGCCCACCCCCUCUUGGCCUCACCGUGGCCUGGAAAUUGGCCAGAGGGUCCACAUCCUGCCCAAACCACUCUCCUCUCGUCCCAAGGCAAAGGUGAUGCCCUGAGGCCUAGGGCUGGAUAAAGCCCAGCUCUGGAUGCUGCUAACCCACUCUGCUGCCCCACCCCAUCCUCCAAUUUUUAUACUAGGCUCUUUGCCAUUGUGACGUCCCAUGACAUAGUCUGAUGCACGAUAAAACAAUUAUUUCUUUAUCUUGCAA
RNAcentral lists this long non-coding RNA (1622 nucleotides) under Homo sapiens (human). RNAcentral's name for it is "non-protein coding lnc-WNT4-2:1". The record is from RNAcentral. Lineage: Eukaryota; Metazoa; Chordata; Mammalia; Primates; Hominidae.